This 465-nucleotide ribosomal RNA is filed under the name uncultured Weissella sp. RNAcentral's name for it is "bacterial SSU rRNA". It matches the Rfam family "Bacterial small subunit ribosomal RNA", at positions 338 to 795 of the family's 1533-position model. Lineage: Bacteria; Bacillati; Bacillota; Bacilli; Lactobacillales; Lactobacillaceae. The record is from RNAcentral.
CCUACGGGUGGCAGCAGUAGGGAAUCUUCCACAAUGGACGAAAGUCUGAUGGAGCAACGCCGCGUGUGUGAUGAAGGGUUUCGGCUCGUAAAACACUGUUGUAAGAGAAGAAUGACAUUGAGAGUAACUGUUCAGUGUGUGACGGUAUCUUACCAGAAAGGAACGGCUAAAUACGUGCCAGCAGCCGCGGUAAUACGUAUGUUCCCAGCGUUAUCCGGAUUUAUUGGGCGUAAAGCGAGCGCAGACGGGUGUUAAAGGCCGAAGUGAAACUCCAGAGCUGAACGGGGGAAGUGCCUUGGAAACGGGAUAACUUGAGUAAAGUAGAGGAGAGUGGAACUCCAUGUGUAGCGGUGAAAUGCGUAGAUAUAUGGAAGAACACCAGUGGCGAAGGCGGCUCUCUGGACUGUAACUGACGUUGAGGCUCGAAAGUGGGGGUAGCAAACAGGAUUAGAUACCCCUGUAGUC